Molecule: long non-coding RNA, 835 nt
Organism: Drosophila pseudoobscura
Lineage: Eukaryota; Metazoa; Arthropoda; Insecta; Diptera; Drosophilidae
Exons: 3
Source: RefSeq, a predicted model, not a curated record
GGAAUGAAUAGGCAGGCUUAGUUUAGCAAUGAUACCAUGGAAAAGUAGGAAAUUAACGUGAAAAUUAUAAGAAUGAAAAUGAAUAAGUUGGUAUAUUGCGCGACCUGAGGGCUUGGGAAGUACCCAGCCCUGGGAUGACUGGCUAGCCGGCCUUGUCCCGAAGAAAACAAAGGUUCGUAACAAAAUAAAAAAAAAACAAACAAAAAACAGAUGAAAAAAGUCGAAAGUUGGAAAAAAUAUAUAGAAUGGAAGACGGAUCAGCAAAUUCCAGUGGUAAAUUUAAUAAAUAUAUAUGUAUUUGUUAUAUAUUAAUUUGAUUAUAAUAUAUAAUAAUAAUACACAAUGCAGCAUAUAAGAGAACAGCAGCCGGCUGGCUGAAAUGGAGUGCCACUCUAGAGAACCUGCUACAGGAUUGAAAAACAUAAAACUGGACCGAGGAAAAGCUGAACACGUUCCUGAGAUGCCACCUGAUUAACAACAUGGAGCAGAGCAUAUUAGAUAAAAAAAAUGUUAAUGAUUUUUUUCGGACAUUGUCGAGGUGGAUCUGGACGUUGGGCAUCGUUGGGCCCCCGCCAAAGCGAACCAAAAAGACGACACUUCUUUGUUGGCAGAGAUCGCCAGAAAGCGACUCGAAGAGCAGAAAGACCAUCACAGGAUGAAGGAAGAACAUGAUAUGAGGCAGGAAAAGAUGAUCGACUGAUUAAAGUCACCAGAACUGUUGCUGCUAUUGGGCUGUUCGUAUAUUUUGCUGUUGAACCACAGCCGAAAUAAUUUCUACAUCUUCAUCAUCCAUUAUAAGAAAAAAAUUAAUAAAUUCUCCGCGCAAAUUUAAUUU